GAUGAACGCUGGCGGCGUGCCUAAUACAUGCAAGUCGAGCGAACAGAUGAGGAGCUUGCUCCUCUGACGUUAGCGGCGGACGGGUGAGUAACACGUGGAUAACCUACCUAUAAGACUGGGAUAACUUCGGGAAACCGGAGCUAAUACCGGAUAAUAUAUUGAACCGCAUGGUUCAAUAGUGAAAGACGGUUUUGCUGUCACUUAUAGAUGGAUCCGCGCCGCAUUAGCUAGUUGGUAAGGUAACGGCUUACCAAGGCAACGAUGCGUAGCCGACCUGAGAGGGGGAGCGGCCACACUGGAGAUGAGACACGGGCCAGACUCCUACGGGAGGCAGCAGUAGGGAAUCUUCCGCAAAGGGCGAAAACCUGAAGGAGCAACGCCGCGGGAGGGAUGAAGGGUUUCGGAUCGUAAAAACCUGUUAAUAGGGAAGAAAAAAUGUGGAAGGAAAUGUGCAAAGCUUGACGGGACCUAAACAAAAAGCCACGGAUAAAUAAGGG
This 497-nucleotide ribosomal RNA is filed under the name uncultured bacterium. Its description in RNAcentral is "partial 16S ribosomal RNA". It matches the Rfam family "Bacterial small subunit ribosomal RNA", at positions 28 to 507 of the family's 1533-position model. The record is from RNAcentral.